UACGUAGGGGGCAAGCGUUGUCCGGAAUCAUUGGGCGUAAAGAGCGUGUAGGCGGCCCGAUAAGUCCGCUGUGAAAGUCGAGGGCUCAACCCUCGAAUGCCGGUGGAUACUGUCGGGCUUGAGUACGGGAGAGGCGAGUGGAAUUCCUGGUGUAGCGGUGAAAUGCGCAGAUAUCAGGAGGAACACCGAUUGCGAAGGCAGCUCGCUGGAACGUUACUGACGCUGAGACGCGAAAGCGUGGGGAGCAAACAGG
RNAcentral lists this ribosomal RNA (253 nucleotides) under uncultured bacterium. RNAcentral describes it as "partial 16S ribosomal RNA". It matches the Rfam family "Bacterial small subunit ribosomal RNA", at positions 524 to 776 of the family's 1533-position model. The record is from RNAcentral.